GCGAGUUACCGUGAGCACAAACAGAUGGCGCCACAAUCAUCGUCACAGUUCCCUUUCCUUCUAGAAGUUCACCACUCUUAAUGCCUUGAUACGAAUGACGGUGGUGAUGCUGAUGAUGUCGCUUACCAGCCGGAGAACCGCGAUGAGGCGGACGCCGGGGCGCCAAAAGAAUAAGUGGAAAACUCUACCAAAACACUUGCCUUCAGACCGUAGCAGCGACAUGCAGUCGCGGUGGACCAACUAAACAGAAACAGUGUUGCAUAAAACGCAACAGCAAUAACGCCGAAACAAACGCCGCACUAAAACGAUCUGUCUAGAGUAUUGGGCUUCUACAGAAAAUAGCCUGGAUAAUGCUGAAAUUGACCCCUUCAGAAUUUUAGCGGAUGCCUCCCUACAAAAUGUGCACGGAUGGAGAUGGCACCGAAGUAACUUUCUUUUUCUUUCGAAACUUUUCAUACUCAUACCCCCCCCGAUAUGUAAGUUUAGCGAUGUGAGAUACGGCCUAUUAAUUUUUCAAUGGGUAUUGGUUCAAUGAUACAGCUAGCUGUUGUGUUGUCGAUGUCAGCCUGACCAGAGUGGAGUCACUAUAUCGACAAACGAGAUGCCAGAUGAAGGUCGACUAAAGUGAAGUCAGACGACAUCUGGCUGGUAGAGACGGUACUCCGGCAUCCGGUCUCGAGACAAGUCGCAUUGAUGAAAACUGUAGACGGAAAGACGUUUUACGUUGUGAUCGAUAACGGCAGGUGAAACGGUCUAGCUCAAACGCGUCUCUGGCGUGUAAGUUAGUCUUGAAGAGAAAAGAACCUUGUGUAGACAUGUAAAGAUACAGAGUUAGGGCGACGAUUGGCAGACGAAGCAAACUUUGCAUGUUGAUAUUAUCGUUAUUAGUGUACAGUGAGUCUUCUGCAGUGGAUCCCUUCCGUCGAGUGGUUCUCGAAUUGUGUGUUUAUGGAUGAAUGUCGAGGUGAUAUAUCUAUAGAUUAUACAAAGUUCCAUCACUCGUUGAACCUCCUCCGGUUUUGUGUGACGAGGUCCUUGACUCGACUUAUAAUGUGAUCGAAAAAGCCUGCCCUCAACAAGUUAACUGCAAAUGUUGGGUGGCCGAACCAAGAUGACUUCGCCGAUGGACCCACGAUGGUGUUACUACAGCCCUAAAUGCUCGCUGAAUCUUCGAUUAUUGCGAUUCGAUUUUCAUCAUAUUCUUCGGUUGUCAUCCUUCUUCUUCUCUAUCCUAUCUUCAAAAUCAACGUCUAUCAUCACCUACAUUGUCAUAACGUUCUCGCAAUGUUACCGUUCAUGCCUUGCGUCGACAGCUACGAUAGUUUCACGCUAAGCAUAGAACCGCGGUGUCUGGCGCGAGGGAGCAUUCGGGUCAUCCGUUAUGUGUGCACACAGUCUGUACCAAGAAGUACUAACAAAGAAUCAGCAAGGAACUUUAUUUCGAAUUUGAAUUUGCUGCCCCUGACAACUGGAUUCGGUGUGCGCUGAGCGGGUGAAUGGUUGAAGUUGGCUGUGAUGAUCUGCUCGUCCAGCAUUAAAAUCAACUGAUAAACAGACGACGAUUAACAUCAAGUUCUAACUUGAUGCCUACUGUGCCUAGCGUCGUUAGAGAUAAACAAUCGUCUCCGGGAGCAAAUUUCGCUAUGGCGCUUAGAGGUAUAUACAAUCAGACGCGAACCGGCCGUGCAGCUCGUAAAGGCAGAAUCACAUCGAACGAAAUAGAUGUUUCCCUGUGUACACACACUGUGGUUAUUGUGACAAUUUUUUUUUGAGCUAGAUAUAUGAGUGUACGAUUUCUAUCACGUGUUCCGAAUCAGCGCCGCUUUGUACAUUUGUCAGAAUAUAUGAAUUCGCCGUAGAAGUUGGAUGAUGGAUGGAUGGUCCUUCCCGCGAGGUUUGCAAUUAGCCCGUACGGAAAUAACAAAAUCCGUUCUGAUCUUUUUCGUAAUGAAAAAGCAGCAAAAAACAGCGUUAAACAGGAGCCGUUAAAAUACGCAGAACUUCGAACAAAAUGGCUUUAGAGACCUUAUGCUUUACUAUCUAUAGACAUACGUACCGUGUGAUUCAAUUCUGUUCAAAAUAACAUCUGUUAUUGGGCAGAAUCAAAUCUGUAAUCUUGGACGUCCGCAGCGUAACGUGCAGUUGACCAAGCGAGCGCUCAUUAUACCUAUAUUAUAUACGUAUAAAUACCUAUAUAUACGCAUAGAGAUAUGAAACAAUUUUACUGUCGUCAAUUGUCAGCUUUUUGCCUAUCUACCGAAAUGGUGUGAAUUUGAAUGAAAACGAUGUGAUGCAGCCUUUUAAUCAAGCACAAUAUUAGGGCGCUUGAAUAGUUGCGAUAACAUUGUACAUGUGUACUAAUCGCCGUAAGGGUGUGCUUGACUCCGAUGCCACGCUGACUGUGUGUGCACACACAACAAUAAUACAUAUAGUUAAAUAGUUUGAGACGUACGCGUUUGUUACUAGGGAAAGCAAUAAACGCGUGUUUACUCAAAAGGGAAAAAGAGACAGUACAAAAAAGACAGAACUAAACAAUUUUUCGUCCGCCCCACGUUUAGUCGUAGCUUGCUUGAUGCUAGAGUUGUUUUUGCCAGUUCGGUAAGCCACCCCGCGGCAAGCCUAAAAUUUGUUUGGUGAGGCAAAACAUCAAUAGACAUUUACACAACAAACAGAAGCAAGUAACAGCAAAAAUUAAAUUAAAAAAAAAAAAAUACCUCGGCUAUCUCUAGCUAGCUUAGGUACUGGGUCGAUGUGCUUCAGCUUAUCCAUUCGUACAAUGUAUAUAUUGUAUCUUGAAACUAGCAUUAAAGGAAGUCAACUAUAAUUCUGUUAUAUCACAUCACAUUCAUAGCUAAAAUGACAAUGAUAAAGAACUUCACAAUAAGAUAAACAAAUCAAUUAGGAUGAAAAGAAUCGAAGCUUCAGAGGGUAGAGCCAUAUUGCUGCGCGUCAUAAUUUUCGUGUUUACACUACAACACGUACA
Molecule: long non-coding RNA, 2983 nt
Filed under: Varroa destructor (honeybee mite)
Lineage: Eukaryota; Metazoa; Arthropoda; Arachnida; Mesostigmata; Varroidae
Description: uncharacterized LOC111249987, transcript variant X1
Source: RNAcentral